This 780-nucleotide ribosomal RNA is filed under the name uncultured soil bacterium. RNAcentral's name for it is "bacterial SSU rRNA". It matches the Rfam family "Bacterial small subunit ribosomal RNA", at positions 8 to 787 of the family's 1533-position model. The record is from RNAcentral.
AGAGUUUGAUCCUGGCUCAGAAUGAACGCUGGCGGCGUGCUUUACACAUGCAAGUCGAGCGAGGCCUGGGGGCAACCCCGGAGUCGAGCGGCGAACGGGUGAGUAACGCGUGGAUGACCUGCCCUUUAGUGGGGAACAACCAGGGGAAACUCUGGCUAAUACCGCAUAAGACCGAAAGGUGAAAGCGGGCCGCAAGGCUCGCGCUGAAGGAGGGGUCCGCGUCCGAUUAGCUAGUUGGUAGGGUAAUGGCCUACCAAGGCGACGAUCGGUAGCCGGCCUGAGAGGGUGAUCGGCCACACUGGAACUGAGACACGGUCCAGACUCCUACGGGAGGCAGCAGUGGGGAAUUUUGCGCAAUGGGCUAACGCCUGACGCAGCAACGCCGCGUGGAGGAUGAAGGUCUUUGGAUUGUAAACUCCUGUCAGCGGGGAAAAAGCGAGGCGACCUAAUACGUCGUCGAGUUGAUUGUACCCGCAGAGGAAGCCCCGGCUAACUCUGUGCCAGCAGCCGCGGUAAUACAGAGGGGGCAAGCGUUAUUCGGAAUUAUUGGGCGUAAAGGGCGCGUAGGCGGCUUUGCAAGUGGCGGGUGAAAUCCCUCGGCUUAACCGAGGAACUGCCUGCCAGACUGUGAGGCUUGAGACCGGGAGAGGUGAGUGGAAUUCCCAGUGUAGCGGUGAAAUGCGUAGAUAUUGGGAGGAACACCAGUGGCGAAGGCGGCUCACUGGACCGGAACUGACGCUGAGGCGCGAAAGCGUGGGGAGCAAACAGGAUUAGAUACCC